GCCAGAUAAGGGAAGCAGGCCUCCGAAGCCAGCAGUGGCAACCCACUUGGGUCCCUUUCAAUGCUGUGGAAGCGUUGUUCUUUCACUCUUCUCAAUAAAUCUUGCUGCUGCUCACUCUUUGGGUCUGCCCCGCUGUUAUGAGCUGUAACACUCACAGCCAGUGUCUGCAGUUUCACUCCUGAAGCCAGCAAGACCACAAACCCACAGGGCGGGACAAACAACUCCGGACAGGAGGAAUGAACAACUCUGGACGCGCCACUUCUAUGAACUUUUAUGAACUGUAACACUCACCGCAAAGGUCUGCAGCUUCACCCCUGAGGCCAGGGAGACCACGAACCCACCGGAAGGAAUGAACAACUCCAGACGCACUGCCUUUAAGAGCUGUAACACUUACCACGGAUGUCUGCAGCUUCACUCCUGAAGUCAGCGAGACCACAAACCCAACAGAAGGAAGAAACUCCCGACACAUCUGAACAUCUGAAGGAACAAACUCUGGACACACCAUCUUUAAGAACUGUAACACUCACCGUGAGGGUCAACCGCUUCAUUCUUGAAGUCAGCCAGACCAAGAACCCACCAAUUCCGGCUGAAGUGGAGUGUCAUGAUCUUGGCUCAUUGCAGCCUCCUCCUCCCAAGUUCAAGCAAUUCUCCUGCCUCAGCCUCCCGAGUAGUUGGAAUUACAGGGUUUCAUCAUUUUUGGCCAUGCUGGCCUUGAACGCCUAACCUCAAAUGAUCCACCUGCCUUGGCCUCCUGAAGUUCUGGGAGUUAUAGGCAUGAGUCACCAUGCCUGGCACCACAUAAAAUUAUUUUGUCAUUAACAUUACAUUUUAAAAUACAAACGCUGUUUUCCAUAUUACUCAGGUCAGAUCUUUUACCCCACUUCUCUCAGUGAGAUUGCAUUAUUUAUUUCCAUCUCUAUAAUCUACUGUUCAUCCAUCUAUCUAUCCAUCCCUCAAUUUAGUUUUUUCACUACAUUCUGCAUUUGAUUCUUUUGAGGGUGUAUGCUUGUGUUUGUGCGUGGAAGUGGGGGUGUGUGUGUGUGUGUGUGUUCAAAAAGGUCUACAGUUUCCUUUUUCUGUAAUAUCUGUGUCUGCUGUUGGUAUUAGGGUAAUGCUGAACUCAUAGAGUAUGUGAAAAGUUUUCUACAUUCUUUGAUUUUUCUGAAAGAAAUUGUGCAGAAUUCAUAUUAUUUCUUUCUUAAAUGCUCAAGUGUUUAUUAAAAUUUACCAGUAAAA
RNAcentral lists this long non-coding RNA (1236 nucleotides) under Homo sapiens (human). RNAcentral describes it as "long independently transcribed non-coding RNA 2377, transcript variant 7 (LINC02377)". The record is from RNAcentral. Lineage: Eukaryota; Metazoa; Chordata; Mammalia; Primates; Hominidae.